UUCUAUUAAUAGCCUAUUUUAUCAGUUGGAAAAUACGAACAACAGUUUAAACACCAAAGAAUUUGGCGGUGUCUUAAUUAAUUAGGGGAACCUGUGCCUUAAAUCGAUAAUCCACGAAAGUCUUACCUAAUAUUGAAACUCAGUUAGUGUACUGCCGUCUUAAGUAUACCUUUAUGAGCGUAUACAGAAAAUUAAAUUUAAGUUUAAUUAUACGUCAGGUCAAAGUGCAGCUUAUAAUUAGGGGGUAAUGGGUUACAAUCUAUAUAAAGAUUACGAAUAAAAGUAAUAAAUACUUUUUGAAGGUGGACUUAACAGUAAUUACUUGUAAUGUAAUGAAAAAUAUAUAAGACAAGU
This 354-nucleotide ribosomal RNA is filed under the name Placobdella sophieae. RNAcentral's name for it is "partial 12S ribosomal RNA". It matches the Rfam family "Bacterial small subunit ribosomal RNA", at positions 874 to 1384 of the family's 1533-position model. Lineage: Eukaryota; Metazoa; Annelida; Clitellata; Rhynchobdellida; Glossiphoniidae. The record is from RNAcentral.